UCCCUUCUCCCAGUAAUGUGAAUUGCAGAAUUCAGUGAAUCAUCGAAUCUUUGAACGCACAUUGCGCCCGUUAGCAUUCUAGCGGGCAUGCCUGUCCGCGCGUCAUUUCAACCCUCAGGGCCCCCCGUUCCGGCGGGCGGACCUGGCGUUGGGGAUCGGCCCGCCCCGUGCGGCGCCGUCCCCCAAAUACAGUGGCGGUCCCGCCGCAGCCUCCCCUGCGUAGUAGUUUACAACCUCGCAUCGGAGCGCGGCGCGGCCACGCCGUAAAACCCCCGACUUUCUGAACGUUGACAUCGGAUCAGGUAGGAAUACCCGCUGAACUUAAGC
RNAcentral lists this unclassified non-coding RNA (327 nucleotides) under plant metagenome. RNAcentral describes it as "partial contains 5.8S ribosomal RNA, internal transcribed spacer 2, and large subunit ribosomal RNA". The stretch from base 1 to 105 matches the Rfam family "5.8S ribosomal RNA", at positions 50 to 154 of the family's 154-position model. The record is from RNAcentral.